GCUUGUGGGACAAGACACUAUUCAAAGGAAUGGGAGACACACUGAUCCAGAAGUUCCAACACUGUGAUCUGCAACGAACUGGGCUUCAGUGAUCAACAGUCUCCUCAAGACUUAAUCUGUUGGGAAUUUUAUGUGCCCAUGGUCGGCUUCAUCUGUCUUCCAGACAGAGUGAUAAAAAGUGGAAUCACAGCUAAUGGAGUCCCAUGCAGUCUGAAAAACUGAAAGCCUUUGAUACAGGAAAUGAGAAAAGCCGUCUGUUUUCAUUCCAGGAGUUGGAAGAUGAAGAUAAUGUCAAUGCAGCUAACUGCUAAUGCAGUGAAAGGUUAUGAUGAAAAUGGUUUUGAUAAAAUAAAACUCUUGAUGCCUAGUGUGCUGCCAAUCUCUAGCAUCUUUGGAAGUUACAUCUAUCAGCGUGGAAUUCUCACCUGA
This 429-nucleotide long non-coding RNA is filed under the name Macaca mulatta (Rhesus monkey). Its description in RNAcentral is "lncRNA (ENSMMUG00000062967.1)". The record is from RNAcentral. Lineage: Eukaryota; Metazoa; Chordata; Mammalia; Primates; Cercopithecidae.